AUGCCUUAGCAACCUCAUCCAUAUAAAUAGUUAAUAUGACUCAUAUCACGGGGAUCGUUUGUUACAUUCCUGUUUUGCCAGUUAGGUUGGUUCUACAGCUAAAGGCUUGGCAUGGAAAUACAGAAACUCCGGACAACGGGUGUGUACCACACAACAGCUGCAUCUGAGGGCACUUCGGAAUAAGCACAGAUGUCUUUUGGGUGGCAAUGCAGUUCUGAGCCUCAUGAAGCGCUGAUAAAGCAUUUUAAACAUCAUCACGUUACUGGGCGGACACUGCCGGACUUAUUAGUGGCAGCCAAUAUUUACUAAAAUAAUUUUAGUCUCCUCUUUCUUAUUUUCAACUAAAAGUUACUGAAAACAAAGUAUUCCAAUGGAAGUAGACUCUAAAAUGAAAGAAGAUGACGGCAUUGGGAAGUCACAUCACCAUUUCCUACAAGUUUUCUGGAAGACAGAAAGUUUUGCUUUUUAAUAAGUCAGUUCAACACACGUGGCGUAUGCACCUGCUGAUUCACCCUCAAAUAUUUAUAGCAGCAAGCAUCAGUUCUUCAGCACUUAAGAAGGCCUCAAAGGUUCCUUCUGGCUGUGACAGUUUCUCAGUCUCUUCUGAUUUUUGAUGACCUGGACAGUUUUAAGGAGUACUGUGGUGGCUGGGAUAUACAGAAGGUGCUGAAACUCGAAACCUUGACCUGAAAUGAGGAAAGAGGAAGAUGUCUGGAACAGAUGAGAGCUGUCAUCUUCUCAAGCGUUAUAUAACAACUGUUACGUUUAUUCAGAUGCAAUACGCACCAUGUGGGAGUCUUCACUCUUUCAUUUCCUAACCCUUAUCUAUAUAAGCACACUCAUGGAAGAGUCAUACAAGGUUGGAGACGUUGGUCUAUGGCAGGUAGUUAUUUUGGUAGGUGUGCUGCCAUCCGUAAAGGAGAGAAGAACUGGGGACAGAAAAAUAAGAACCAAGCCCCUAGAGUUAUUGCUGGGGAGGCUUCCUGGAAGGCUAGCAGAAUUCUGAUUUGUGAUUCUGAAACUGAGUUUAUUGAACAGGUUAAGUAUGUUCUACUUAGCACCCCAGUGCAGAUAACAAGGUCACAGAUGCUAAAUGCAAUUCCUUGUUUUGUGCUCCUCAAAGCCCACUUUUCCCCUUUAAGUGAAAGGGAGUUACAGAGAGGAAACACUAAACCAAACUUCUGCUCUCAAAAAUGAUCUAUAGUUACAAGUUCGUACCAAAGAAAUUCUAUGUCAAAUGAUUUAAAAACCAGA
Rhinolophus ferrumequinum (greater horseshoe bat) is the source of this 1254-nucleotide long non-coding RNA. RefSeq lists it as uncharacterized. The transcript is spliced from 3 exons. Lineage: Eukaryota; Metazoa; Chordata; Mammalia; Chiroptera; Rhinolophidae. The record is from RefSeq and is a predicted model, not a curated record.